RNAcentral lists this ribosomal RNA (429 nucleotides) under Gemmatimonadota bacterium. RNAcentral describes it as "Gemmatimonadetes bacterium partial 16S ribosomal RNA". It matches the Rfam family "Bacterial small subunit ribosomal RNA", at positions 355 to 776 of the family's 1533-position model. Lineage: Bacteria; Pseudomonadati; Gemmatimonadota. The record is from RNAcentral.
UAGGGAAUCUUCGGCAAUGGACGAAAGUCUGACCGAGCAACGCCGCGUGAGUGAAGAAGGUUUUCGGAUCGUAAAACUCUGUUGUUAGAGAAGAACAAGGACGUUAGUAACUGAACGUCCCCUGACGGUAUCUAACCAGAAAGCCACGGCUAACUACGUGCCAGAAGCCGCGGUAAUACGUAGGUGGCAAGCGUUGUCCGGAUUUAUUGGGCGUAAAGCGAGCGCAGGCGGUUUCUUAAGUCUGAUGUGAAAGCCCCCGACUCAACCGGGGAGGGUCAUUGGAAACUGGGAGACUUGAGUGCAGAAGAGGAGAGUGGAAUUCCAUGUGUAGCGGUGAAAUGCGUAGAUAUAUGGAGGAACACCAGUGGCGAAGGCGGCUCUCUGGUCUGUAACUGACGCUGAGGCUCGAAAGCGUGGGGAGCAAACAGG